This 115-nucleotide ribosomal RNA is filed under the name Pteropus alecto (black flying fox). The record is from RNAcentral. Lineage: Eukaryota; Metazoa; Chordata; Mammalia; Chiroptera; Pteropodidae.
GACUACAGACAUGCCACCCUGAACAAGCCUGAUGUCUGAUCUCGGAAGCUAAUCAGGGUCAGGCCUGGUUAGUACUUGGAUGGGGACCACCUAGGAAGACCAGGUGCUGUAGACG